AGCAGCCGCCACGGUAAUACGUAGGGUGCGAGCGUUAAUCGGAAUUACUGGGCGUAAAGGGCGCGUAGGUGGUUGUGUAAGUGAGAUGUGAAAUCCCCGGGCUCAACCUGGGAACUGCGUCUUAUACUGCAUAGCUUGAGUACAAUAGAGGGUAGUGGAAUUUCCGGUGUAGCGGUGAAAUGCGUAGAUAUCGGAAGGAACACCAGUGGCGAAGGCGGCUACCUGGAUUGAUACUGACACUGAGGCGCGAGAGCGUGGGGAGCAAACAGGAUUAGAUACCCCGGUAGUCCCUGUCUCUUAUAC
Molecule: ribosomal RNA, 303 nt
Filed under: uncultured bacterium
Lineage: Bacteria
Description: partial 16S ribosomal RNA
Rfam family: Bacterial small subunit ribosomal RNA
Source: RNAcentral